GCUGGGGCUUAGUGGUAGAGCGCUUGCCUAGCAUGUGUGAGGCACUGGGUUUGAUUCUCAGCCCCGCA
This 68-nucleotide transfer RNA is filed under the name Marmota monax (woodchuck). RNAcentral's name for it is "tRNA.Ala". The record is from RNAcentral. Lineage: Eukaryota; Metazoa; Chordata; Mammalia; Rodentia; Sciuridae.